UACGGGGGGAGCAAGCGUUGUUCGGAUUUACUGGGCGUAAAGGGCGCGUAGGCGGCCACCGCAAGUCGACUGUGAAAUCUCCGGGCUUAACCCGGAAAGGUCAGCCGAUACUGCGGGGCUAGAGUGCAGAAGGGGCAACUGGAAUUCUCGGUGUAGCGGUGAAAUGCGUAGAUAUCGGGAGGAACACCGGUGGCGAAGGCGGGUCUCUGGGCAAUUCCUGACGCUGAGGCGCGAAAGCGUGGGGAGCAAACGGG
Molecule: ribosomal RNA, 254 nt
Filed under: uncultured bacterium
Lineage: Bacteria
Description: partial 16S ribosomal RNA
Rfam family: Bacterial small subunit ribosomal RNA
Source: RNAcentral